GUUGCUUCGGCGGGCCCGCCAGCGUUGCUGGCCGCCGGGGGGCGACUCGCCCCCGGGCCCGUGCCCGCCGGAGACCCCAACAUGAACCCUGUUCUGAAAGCUUGCAGUCUGAGUGUGAUUCUUUGCAAUCAGUUAAAACUUUCAACAAUGGAUCUCUUGGUUCCGGCAUCGAUGAAGAACGCAGCGAAAUGCGAUAACUAAUGUGAAUUGCAGAAUUCAGUGAAUCAUCGAGUCUUUGAACGCACAUUGCGCCCCCUGGUAUUCCGGGGGGCAUGCCUGUCCGAGCGUCAUUGCUGCCCUCAAGCCCGGCUUGUGUGUUGGGCCCUCGUCCCCCGGCUCCCGGGGGACGGGCCCGAAAGGCAGCGGCGGCACCGCGUCCGGUCCUCGAGCGUAUGGGGCUUCGUCUUCCGCUCCGUAGGCCCGGCCGGCGCCCGCCGACGCAUUUAUUUGCAACUUGUUUUUUUCCAGGUUGACCUCGGAUCAGGUAGGGAUACCCGCUGAACUUAAGCAUAUCAAUAAGCGGAGGAAAAGAAACCAACCGGGAUUGCCUCAGUAACGGCGAGUGAAGCGGCAAGAGCUCAAAUUUGAAAGCUGGCUCCUUCGGGGUCCGCAUUGUAAUUUGCAGAGGAUGCUUCGGGUGCAGCCCCCGUCUAAGUGCCCUGGAACGGGCCGUCAUAGAGGGUGAGAAUCCCGUAUGGGGCGGGGUGUCUGCGUCCGUGUGAAGCUCCUUCGACGAGUCGAGUUGUUUGGGAAUGCAGCUCUAAAUGGGUGGUAAAUUUCAUCUAAAGCUAAAUACUGGCCGGAGACCGAUAGCGCACAAGUAGAGUGAUCGAAAGAUGAAAAGCACUUUGAAAAGAGAGUUAAACAGCACGUGAAAUUGUUGAAAGGGAAGCGCUUGCAACCAGACUCGCUCGCGGGGUUCAGCCGGGCUUCGGCCCGGUGUACUUCCC
RNAcentral lists this small RNA (950 nucleotides) under Aspergillus terreus. RNAcentral's name for it is "eukaryotic LSU rRNA". The stretch from base 471 to 950 matches the Rfam family "Eukaryotic large subunit ribosomal RNA", at positions 1 to 477 of the family's 3401-position model. Lineage: Eukaryota; Fungi; Ascomycota; Eurotiomycetes; Eurotiales; Aspergillaceae. The record is from RNAcentral.